Molecule: long non-coding RNA, 764 nt
Organism: Mus musculus (house mouse)
Lineage: Eukaryota; Metazoa; Chordata; Mammalia; Rodentia; Muridae
Product: predicted gene, 31600
Exons: 3
Source: RefSeq, a predicted model, not a curated record
AUAAAGCUGGCACGUGCUCUCGCAAAGGAUUUUGUUCUGCUUAAACGGCCCCCCAGAACAUUUGUUUGGUCACCCGUCCCUCUAAAGCAAAAUAAGGGAAAGAAAGGAAAGAAAAGGCUGAAAACUGCUCGUUUGACGCCUCCAAAAGCUCGAGUGGAAGUUUAACUAACUUCAAGGGAAAGCCUGAGAACACUGCAUCCCCAGUCGUUUGAGGACUUUAUACCUCGCAAGGCACCAGAGCUGGAUUCUAGAGCAAAGGGCAGCAGCGCUCAUUCUAGAGGUUAUAUCAUAGAUGGUGUAACAUUACCUUCUGCCCACUGGGAUCUUAUCAACCCUCUGUUCCUGGUCUAUUUUGAGACCCAUCUGAGCCUGCUACCUGGGACAUGGGUAGUGUUAACAAAUCAACGUCCUGCUGACAAGAGGUGAACGGAGUCUCAUCUGGAAAGAACAGGGCAAGAGAUCAGUAGGCAGUUGGAUUUAUGCUUCAGAGCAUUGCUUCUUUGCAUGAAACUUAGAGGUGCCUUGUUAAACACUUAGAGAGCUCAUCCAAGGCACCGACCGGGUCCUCAUUCAACAGUGACGCCAUCUGCUUGCAGGCUUGCCGUGAUAAUCCAAGAGUAAAGUCCCUUCGAAAAGCACCCCGAGGAAGAAAGAAUUGUCAACACAUCUCUUUUAAGGUACGGUUGGUUCAGUCAGAAUGGCUAAGAUCAAAAGUUCAGGUGACAGCAGAUGCUGGAGAGAAUGUGGAGAAAGAGCAACACUCC